RNAcentral lists this long non-coding RNA (5013 nucleotides) under Olea europaea subsp. europaea. Lineage: Eukaryota; Viridiplantae; Streptophyta; Magnoliopsida; Lamiales; Oleaceae. The record is from RNAcentral.
GUAGGAGACAAACUAUUACAAUUGCUUUUUAACUCGAGAAGAAUAAUUGGAACGAACAUACAAUUUACCCAAACCGUACAUAUUCUUGUGGGGGUUAUGCUUACAGAUUCUUUCCUGAUAAAGCUGCAUCAUUGGCACUAGAAAUUGCCAGUUAUCUUGUUCAAGUUAGUCCAGAAUCGAAUCUACCUUAUCUAGCUCUUCUACACAGAACCAUGGAAUUAAAAUGUGGCUCAACAUUAACAUAAUCAUAAGCUUCGUUGAAAUAUCUGAUUACAUAAGUUCGACGGGCUGCUACAACUACACGAGUCACCUAAACAUAAACAUAAAAAUCAGUUCCGCAUUUGCUUUUCCUUGACAAUAUCUUCCAAUUUCCUUUCCGGAUAGUUAUGUUGAAUGAUAUCUCCACAUCCCCUUCUUCUAUCUUUAAUUCGGCAACACUUUUCAACAGGUCAUCAAUUGGUGCUUUAGCUUUAUUUGGAGACAUCCCCAACGGUGCUUGAUUGCAUUCCAUCACAAUAAUUACUAGGCUGUCCUUCAAAUGGCAAGAGUUUCUUCUUCGAGGACUUCCCGUCAUUCCGGUCAAAAUAACCGCAAUCUUUUGUACAACACAAGAAUAUUCAGCUUAUGUUGUGCGUAUUCUUCUCAACCUCCAUCAUUUUUACAAUUCCUUGUAAACAGUUCAGAUUUUUUUUUUUUUGGGGACAUUCAUACAGUUGGUGCCAAGGUUGUCAACAACUAUGGCAGAUACCCCUAUUCUUCCCGGACGUUGAUUAAUACAACCGCAAGUUAUGACGAAUUUCUUUAUUAGGUAGCAAACAAUUUGGAGACAUAAUCUAAGUUGAUAAACACUAUCUUCAGUGAAUAGUCGGUCGAUUUCCACCUGUAUCGAAAUCACACCUAAGCCCCAGCUUGCUUAAUAGCAUUAUCAAAACACAUCAAUUAAUACGAUUAUAUGAUACAUUACAUUCAAAUGAAGUAGCAUAACCUAAGUUCAUAUAAAUAUAUGUUGCUAACUUAGGGUUCAUUACCCCCAAUAGUCACUGAAUCAAGAGAUUAACUGAACAACCCCAAACUUUGAUAAUAAUCAUUGAUAGUGUAUUUUUACUUUCAAAAUGAAUUAUAUUUUUCAAGUAUAAGUUGAAAAAAGAUUAAAACGUAAAAAUCACGUUACCUAUUUUUGAUAGUUAUAAAUAUGAGGUCAGCAGCUAAUGCUUUAAUUAUGUAAGAUGUCGUGGCUAUUCUUUCCGAAUAGGUUGUGUAUCUUCACGAUUUGCGAGUGAAUGAGAUGUCUUAUAAACUUAAUUCACAUAUUUAAUUGAGUUUAGUGGAUAAAAACUGAUUUAAUUGUAUCCUCCUCAAACAAUAAUGUACUCCUUCAAACAACACAAGUUUCAUUAGGUAACUUAGGCUAUGCAGUAUUUAGUCGUGUUUAUUACUGUGUACGAGCUAUUAACUUCCAGGAUUUAAUUUUGAUAUAUAUCUUUUACAAUGAAGUUUUGAGAUGAUUUGUGAAUUAUUAUAAACAUAUUUCAUAAUUUUAUUUAUACCAAAUUGUUAUAUGGUUCACGCAUCAAAAUACACCAAGCUGGAAAACACAUUGCCUUACAUAUGUAAAACACCCUAGUUAUUUCAUUGCUUGCUUGUGAAAUUUGAACCAUUUGCAUUUUUAGUAACUAAAUAUGGUAACAAAUCAAAAUGGUGAGAAUCAUGGUAUUACCCAAUUGCAAAUACAAAUACUUCCCAAUAUCCUUCUGAAAGUAACAUUCAAAACAUCAAUGUCUUUUAUAUAGUUAAAAUUGAACACUAGAAUUUGCAACGCUUCCUUUAUCCGCACCCCUUGUAAACCGUAACAAAAACAUUUUGGUAAUAUAUAUAUAUAUAUAUAUAUAUAUAUAUAAACAAAGUUAAUAUUGUCAUACCAUCUUAUUAUCAGACAUGUGACUACUUUUCCUUUGUUCAAUUUUGGUAAAUCCUAACCAAAAUAUAUGGAUAUAACUAAAAAAAAAAUGGUUAGUUUGUAUAUUAAUAAAUAAAGAAUUAAAGAAAACGGUUAAUGAGGAGAACACCUUUAAUAUUAGUAACACCAUGAUCUAAUUUCCAAGAACUGGCUUUAGCACGUGGAACACUUGCAUGAACAACUUUAUUUUUGUGUCUUAUUGAAUUUUCUAACCUCGCAAAGCCCCAAAAGUCGUUUCUAUACGUUGCUAUUAAUCAAAUAAAUUCAAGGUGUUUAUCUCGGUAAAAAUCUUAUCUGGAAAAUGAUAUUAAGAAAAAUAGACAACAUUUUUAUUAACCACAAUUUUUUUCCAACUAAAAAUGAUGCAGUAAAUAUGUGUAUACCUGAUAAGGUAUCCGGUGUAUGGCUAAAUAUCAGGAACUGUGAUCGAAAGGGUAUGUUCAAAAUUUUUAUUCUAAGCAAGUCAAUCCUCUCUAAAUCUGACAUAACCAUUGGAAACAUUGCAACCAGAGCCUCAAUGGUAAGUAUCUAGUCCAGGUUAUCCACGUUCAAAUUUAGAUCCAUUGUCAUAUUACCUACAGUCGGUUGAUGGUUUAUAUUGUGAUAAUGAUCGAUAAGGUCCAAUGUUAAUCCACUUAAUACUGAACUUUCAAAAGCAUAAACAAAACUUUGAUAGCCAGGGGGCGGAGGAAGAAACUGAUGAUUUGCCUGUGGAACUUGAAGUAAAGAAUCUUCAGUAGUAUCAAUUGAUCUUAUCAAGAAUUGUUUGAGCAAGAAACAACAUGUUGUUUUGUGUUCCAAAUCCCCUUGGAUUCCAAACAUGUAAAAAUAUAUUUUUCAUAAUAAUUAAGUAUCUCCUCAUCCUUAUUUUUCUUUUGGCCGAAAGGGGAAGAAAAGAAAUGGAGAGGAGUGAAAGGCGUGUCUGCUUGGCUGAAAGGGCGAAGAAGGAAGAAGAGAAAUGGAGAGAAGAGUGAGAGGCGUGUCUGCUUUUGGGAAGAAACACUCCAUCCCCUUAUAUAGGAAUAAACUUACACAUACAGAAAGUAUUUCACAUGUAAAAAAAGUGCAUCAACAUGGAUCAAAUAAUCAAUUGGGGUGUACAUUGAGAGAUGGAUAAAAUUGCUUCUUACCCUUAUUUUUAUUAUAUGUAUAUUCUUCCAUCCUCCAGUCAGUAGGCUUGCUACAUCUCUUAAAGAAUUAUCUCAACUUUCCUUUAGUCCCUUUAAUCGAAGGUGAAUGUGGUCUAUUUAGAACAUCUUCGAUAUUAGUAACACCAUGAUCUAAUUUCCAAGAACCGGCUUUAGCAAGCGAAACACCUGCAUAAACAACUCUAUUUUUACGACUUAUUGAAGUUUUUAACCACGCAAAGCCCCAAAAGUCGUUUCCAUACGUUACUGUUAAUCAAAUAAAUACGAGAUAUUUAUCUCAGUGAAAUUAUCAUCCGAAAAACGAUUUUAAGAAAAUUUGUUAUUUUUGGCUGUUUCGCGCACCAUUAACGACGUGAAAUACUAGGUCGUGAGUACUUCAAAAUGAUAUUAAGAAUGUAAUAUUUCGACUUCCUUUGAUAUCUCGUAUGAGCCCGAAAAUUAAGAUAAAAACAUAAAUAAUUUAAUGAAUUUUAUUAACACUUUCCUCCAAGCCCGCGUCCCACUUUUUGUACAUGUGAAAUACCUUCUGUACGUGUACGUUUAUUCCUAUAUAAGGGGAGGGAUUGUUCCUUCCCAAAAGCAAAUGCCUCUCACUCUUGUCUCCAUUUCUCUUCCUCCUUCCCCCUUUCAGUCAAAUAGACACGCCUCUCACUCAAUUUCUCUUCUUCCCCUUUCAGCCAAAAGAAAAAUAUGGAUGAGAAGAUAUUUAAUUAUUAUGAAAAAUAUAUUUUUACAUGUCUGGAAUCCAAGGGGAUUUGUAACACAAAACAACAUGUUGUUUUUUGCUCAAGCAAUUUUUGAUAAGAUUAAUUGAUCCUACUGAAGAUUUUCCACUUCAAGUUCCACAGGCAAAUCAUCAGUUUCCUCCUCUUUCUCCUCCGCCCCUUGGCUAUUAAAGUUUCUUGAUGCUUUUGAAAGCUCAGUAUUAAGUAGAUUAACAUUGAACCUUAUCGAUCAUUACUACAACAUAAACCCUCAACCGACUGUAGGUAAUAUGACAAUUGAUCCAAAUUUGAACGUGGAUAACUUGGACCAAAUACAUACCAUUGAGGCUCCGAUUGCAAUGCUUUCAAUGGUACAAAAUGUCAGAUUUAGAGAAGAUUGACCUGCUUAGAACAAAAAAAUUGAACAUGCCCUUUCGAUCACAGGUUCUUGAAAUCAAUAUAUUUAACCACACCGAAUACCUUCUCAAGAAUACGCAUAUUUACUGUAUCAUUUUUAGUUGGAAAAAAUUGUGGUUGAUAAAAACGUUGUCUAUUUUUCUUAAAAUCAUUUUCCAAAUAAAAAUUUCACUGAGAUAAACACUUUGAAUUUAUUUGAUUAACAGUAACAUAUUGAAACGAAUUUUGAGGCUUUGCGAGGUUAGAAACUUCAAUAAGACACAAAAAUAGAGUUGUUCAUGCAAGUGUAAUUGUGUUUGAUAAUAAUAUUAUGUGUUUAGAUCAAUGAUUGUAUAGUAUAUGUUAAUCUUUUUUUGGUUAGUUUUCUUAAUUAAUUAUAAGCAAUGAUGUAAUGAUUUUCUUUUAUGUUUAGCAUAUCCCCAAAACGCAUAAUUUCUCCUCCAAAACUAACUUAUCCAGUUGGGGAACGCUUUAGAUAUUUACUUAAAACUGUAGGUCUUUCCGCAGAUCCUUAAGUUGUAAAUGUUUUAGGAGAUUAAAUGAAAAGUUAGUUACUCAUUGCUCGACAAAUUUUAGAUAGUUAUUUGUUUAGAUUAAAAUCAUUCGUGCUAGGAACCUAAAUACAUUAGUUUAAAGUUAAAGUUAUAAAAAAAAAAAAUCAAUUUCUAACUUGCACAAUAGCAAGCAUACUAACAAGCUAUACGAAGUAGAAACAUGUAACCUAGACAAAAGAAUCCCCAAUCCUCAACAAUAUACCACCAAUUAAAUUUGUGAUCUAACAUCCUCC